CGACCCUGAAGCCCUAGUUGCUUCGCGUUGGGACUCUACUGGCUACCCUGUAGUUCCCUAAUGACAGUGGCGGAGUUCAGGUGUACUCUCAGCGUAGUAAUUUCUUCUCGCUUUUGCAGUAGCCUGGUCGCCGGCCGUAAAACCCCCUAUUUUCUAGU
Molecule: unclassified non-coding RNA, 158 nt
Filed under: Hypoxylon fuscum
Lineage: Eukaryota; Fungi; Ascomycota; Sordariomycetes; Xylariales; Hypoxylaceae
Description: partial internal transcribed spacer 2
Source: RNAcentral